Xiphias gladius (swordfish) is the source of this 1127-nucleotide RNA transcript. It is a transcript of the gene named ATPase H+ transporting V0 subunit b, with no coding region annotated. The transcript has 9 exons. NCBI's taxonomy places the organism in Eukaryota, Metazoa, Chordata, Actinopteri, Istiophoriformes, Xiphiidae. The record is from RefSeq and is a predicted model, not a curated record.
CCUCCGGUCCCCGGUCACAUGGUAGUCAAGCUGUGUCAGCUGACAGAGCACAGCUUCUCUUUUUGAUGCGCUUCCUCCUCCAUCGGCUCAUAGCUCGUUUUGAAACACUAUUAUUUCGCUAUCUUUGGCUUACUGGCGUCAAAUUUUAAAUUUGAGCCAAGUAUACGUUGGCGAUCCAGCAGGUUAGGCCGCCGGAUAGAUGCUGCUAGAGUGGAUGAUGAACGGACACGCCAUUCUUUACACGGGGGUCACUUUGGCCUUCUGGAGCACCAUACUAAUCGUUGGAAUCUGUUACACCAUAUUUGACCUUGGGUUCCGCUUUGAUGUGGCAUGGUUCCUGACAGAAACUUCUCCUUUCAUGUGGGCCAAUCUGGGUAUUGGCUUGGCCAUCUCUCUGUCUGUGGUGGGAGCUGCCUGGGGUAUUUACAUUACUGGCUCAAGCAUCAUUGGUGGUGGUGUCAAGGCUCCACGAAUCAAGACCAAGAAUUUGGUCAGCAUCAUCUUCUGUGAAGCUGUCGCGAUCUAUGGGAUCAUCAUGGCCAUUGUAAUCAGCAACAUGGCUGAGAACUUCAGUGGAACAACCCCUGAAACCAUCGGAGCAAGGAACUACCAAGCUGGUUACUCCAUGUUUGGAGCCGGUCUGACUGUUGGCUUUUCCAACCUCUUCUGUGGCAUCUGUGUCGGCAUCGUGGGCAGCGGAGCAGCUUUGGCAGACGCCCAGAACGCAAGCCUCUUCGUGAAGAUUCUCAUUGUGGAAAUCUUUGGCAGUGCAAUUGGCUUGUUUGGUGUUAUUGUAGCCAUUCUGCAGACGUCGAAAGUAAAGAUGGGUGACUAGAAGAUGCAUUCACACGCCGAGAGGAUAAAAAGACAGUGCUGGAAAAUAAGAUGGAUUAUUGUAUGUAUCCGAAGGUCCAGUCGUCUUGAAGCUUUUCACUUCUCUUUGAAUCGUGAGCCAAUGAGCUGACCCAGGCCACAGGCAUUGAUCCAUGCACUCCUGUAUUGCUUCUAGUCAACCUGCAAUUUGUUUUGAUUUCCACUAGAUGGAGCAGAAAACCGCAACAUUUGUCUUACUGAAUAAACUGGUACUGUACAUACUAAUUACUCAUAUCUUAUGUUACUACUCAACA